AUAUGUCAUUAAUAAGAUGAUGAUGUUUAUCGAGUGUAGGUCAUUGUGUGCCAUAUAGGCUAGUUGUCCUCAUAAUCAAAGAAUGUGGAGAUACUGGUAUGGCAUACAGAUUAGAUGUAGGAGUACAUCGUCACUGAAUAAGUGACUCACCUACUGAGCACUCUACUAUCAAAAGUAGCUCGCAAAAUAUAUGGACAUAAGUAUCCCUUGGAUCUGAGAUCAUCAUAAUAACUUGCAAGCAACUCACUGUGCUUUGAUGUCAGAUUAUCUGUAUUUCUAAUGUAAUGACAGAAGGCUACUGGGUAU
Molecule: long non-coding RNA, 306 nt
Filed under: Elaeis guineensis (African oil palm)
Lineage: Eukaryota; Viridiplantae; Streptophyta; Magnoliopsida; Arecales; Arecaceae
Description: long non-coding RNA (EGUI_LNC019542)
Source: RNAcentral